GGUGAUUUAAGUCAGCGGUGAAAGUUUGUGGCUCAACCAUAAAAUUGCCGUUGAAACUGGGUUACUUGAGUGUGUUUGAGGUAGGCGGAAUGCGUGGUGUAGCGGUGAAAUGCAUAGAUAUCACGCAGAACUCCGAUUGCGAAGGCAGCUUACUAAACCAUAACUGACACUGAAGCACGAAAGCGUGGGGAUCAAACAGGAUUAGAUACCCUGGUAGUCCACGCAGUAAACGAUGAUUACUAGGAGUUUGCGAUACAAUGUAAGCUCUACAGCGAAAGCGUUAAGUAAUCCACCUGGGGAGUACGCCGGCAACGGUGAAACUCAAAGGAAUUGACGGGGGCCCGCACAAGCGGAGGAACAUGUGGUUUAAUUCGAUGAUACGCGAGGAACCUUACCCGGGUUUGAACGUAGUCUGACCGGAGUGGAAACACUCUUUCUAGCAAUAGCAGAUUACGAGGUGCUGCAUGGUUGUCGUCAGCUCGUGCCGUGAGGUGUCGGCUUAAGUGCCAUAACGAGCGCAACCCUUAUCACUAGUUACUAACAGGUGAAGCUGAGGACUCUGGUGAGACUGCCAGCGUAAGCUGUGAGGAAGGUGGGGAUGACGUCAAAUCAGCACGGCCCUUACAUCCGGGGCGACACACGUGUUACAAUGGCAUGGACAAAGGGCAGCUACCUGGUGACAGGAUGCUAAUCUCCAAACCAUGUCUCAGUUCGGAUCGGAGUCUGCAACUCGACUCCGUGAAGCUGGAUUCGCUAGUAAUCGCGCAUCAGCCAUGGCGCGGUGAAUACGUUCCCGGGCCUUGUACACACCGCCCGUCAAGCCAUGGGAGCCGGGGGUACCUGAAGUCCGUAACCGCAAGGAUCGGCCUAGGGUAAAACUGGUGACUGG
RNAcentral lists this ribosomal RNA (889 nucleotides) under uncultured organism. Its description in RNAcentral is "SSU rRNA". It matches the Rfam family "Bacterial small subunit ribosomal RNA", at positions 577 to 1478 of the family's 1533-position model. The record is from RNAcentral.